GGGCCGAUAGCUCAGUUGGCAGAGCGCCUGUUUUGCAUACAGGAGGUCAGCGGUUCGAAACCGCUUCGGUCCACCU
This 76-nucleotide transfer RNA is filed under the name Microgenomates group bacterium RBG_19FT_COMBO_39_10. RNAcentral describes it as "tRNA-Ala". It matches the Rfam family "tRNA". From Rfam's summary of the family: Transfer RNA (tRNA) molecules are approximately 80 nucleotides in length. Their secondary structure includes four short double-helical elements and three loops (D, anti-codon, and T loops). The record is from RNAcentral.